ACGAACGCUGGCGGCGUGCUUAACACAUGCAAGUCGAACGAAAAGACGGAAGGAGCUUGCUCUUUUCAGAAUUGAGUGGCAAACGGGUGAGUAACACGUAAACAACCUGCCUUCAGGAUGGGGACAACAGACGGAAACGACUGCUAAUACCGAAUAAGUUCCAAGAGCCGCAUGGCCCAUGGAAGAAAAGGUGGCCUCUACCUGUAAGCUAUCGCCUGAGGAGGGGUUUGCGUCUGAUUAGCUGGUUGGAGGGGUAACGGCCCACCGAGGCGACGAUCAGUAGCCGGUCUGAGAGGAUGAACGGCCACACUGGAACUGAGACACGGUCCAGACUCCUACGGGAGGCAGCAGUGGGGAAUCUUCCGCAAUGGGCGAAAGCCUGACGGAGCAACGCCGCGUGAGUGAUGACGGCCUUCGGGUUGUAAAACUCUGUGAUCCGGGACGAAAAGGCAGAGUGCGAAGAACAAACUGCAUUGACGGUACCGGAAAAGCAAGCCACGGCUAACUACGUGCCAGCAGCCGCGGUAAUACGUAGGUGGCGAGCGUUGUCCGGAAUUAUUGGGCGUAAAGCGCGCGCAGGCGGCUUCCCAAGUCCCUCUUAAAAGUGCGGGGCUUAACCCCGUGAUGGGAAGGAAACUGGGAAGCUGGAGUAUCGGAGAGGAAAGUGGAAUUCCUAGUGUAGCGGUGAAAUGCGUAGAGAUUAGGAAGAACACCGGUGGCGAAGGCGACUUUCUGGACGAAAACUGACGCUGAGGCGCGAAAGCGUGGGGAGCAAA
RNAcentral lists this ribosomal RNA (776 nucleotides) under uncultured Peptococcaceae bacterium. Its description in RNAcentral is "bacterial SSU rRNA". It matches the Rfam family "Bacterial small subunit ribosomal RNA", at positions 29 to 772 of the family's 1533-position model. The record is from RNAcentral. Lineage: Bacteria; Bacillati; Bacillota; Clostridia; Eubacteriales; Peptococcaceae.